This 446-nucleotide ribosomal RNA is filed under the name uncultured bacterium. Its description in RNAcentral is "partial 16S ribosomal RNA". It matches the Rfam family "Bacterial small subunit ribosomal RNA", at positions 338 to 795 of the family's 1533-position model. The record is from RNAcentral.
CCUACGGGGUGCAGCAGUGGGGAAUAUUGCGCAAUGGGCGAAAGUCUGACGCAGCGACGCCGCGUGGGGGAAUGAAGGUCUUCGGAUUGUAAACCCCUGUCAUGUGGGAGUAAAUUAAAAAGAUAGUACCACAAGAGGAAGAGAUGACUAACUCUGUGCCAGCAGCCGCGGUAAUACGUAGGGGGCGAGCGUUAUCCGGAUUCACUGGGUGUAAAGGGAGCGUAGACGGCCAUGCAAGCCAGGGGUGAAAGCCCGGGGCCCAACCCCGGGACUGCACUUGGAACUGCAUGGCUGGAGUGCGGGUGGGGCAGGCGGAAUUCCUGGUGUAGCGGUGAAAUGCGUAGAUAUCAGGAGGAACACCGGCGGCGAAGGCGGCCUGCUGGACUGCGACUGACGUUGAGGCUCGAAAGCGUGGGGAGCGAACAGGAUUAGAUACCCGAGUAGUC